GGUGAGUAAUGUAUCGGAACCUGCCCGGUAGCGGGGGAUAACUACACGAAAGCGUAGCUAAUACCGCAUACGCCCUACGGGGGAAAGCAGGGGAUCGCAGGACCUUGCACUAUUGGAUCGGCCGAUAUCGGAUUAUCUAGUUGGUGGGGUAACGGCUCACCAAGGCGACGAUCCGUAGCUGGUUUGAGAGGAUGACCAGCCACACUGGGACUGAGACACGGCCCAGACUCCUACGGGAGGCAGCAGUGGGGAAUUUUGGACAAUGGGGGAAAGCCUGAUCCAGCCAUCCCGCGUGUGCGAUGAAGGCCUUCGGGUUGUAAAGCACUUUUGGCUGGAAAGAAACGUCGCGGGUUAAUACCCCGCUAAACUGACGGUACCUGCAGAAUAAGCACCGGCUAACUACGUGCCAGCAGCCGCGGUAAUACGUAGGGUGCAAGCGUUAAUCGGAAUUACUGGGCGUAA
RNAcentral lists this ribosomal RNA (462 nucleotides) under Achromobacter xylosoxidans. RNAcentral's name for it is "bacterial SSU rRNA". It matches the Rfam family "Bacterial small subunit ribosomal RNA", at positions 105 to 563 of the family's 1533-position model. Lineage: Bacteria; Pseudomonadati; Pseudomonadota; Betaproteobacteria; Burkholderiales; Alcaligenaceae. The record is from RNAcentral.